RNAcentral lists this small RNA (75 nucleotides) under Arabidopsis thaliana (thale cress). RNAcentral describes it as "ATSL070690". The record is from RNAcentral. Lineage: Eukaryota; Viridiplantae; Streptophyta; Magnoliopsida; Brassicales; Brassicaceae.
AAAGAUUUAGACUUUGGAGGCUCUGCAGAAGAAGAAGACAACGAGAUUCUUAGGUUCAAAACUUCGAUCUCCGAC